ACUGCUCAGUUAACACGUGGACAACCUACCCUAUGGAGGGGGAUAACCCCGGGAAACUGGGGAUAAUACCCCAUAGGCUAUGGAAGCUGGAAUGCUCUGUAGUCGAAAGGUCCGCCGCCAUAGGAUGGGUCUGCGGCCGAUUAGGUUGUUGUUGGGGUAACGGCCCAACAAGCCUGUAAUCGGUACGGGUUGUGGGAGCAAGAGCCCGGAGAUGGAUUCUGAGACACGAAUCCAGGCCCUACGGGGCGCAGCAGGCGCGAAAACUUUACAAUGCGGGAAACCGUGAUAGGGGAACUCUGAGUGCCCGUAAAAUCGGGCUGUCCAUCAGUUUAAAUAACUGGUGAAGAAAGGGCCGGGCAAGACCGGUGCCAGCCGCCGCGGUAAUACCGGCGGCUCGAGUGGUGGCCACUAUUACUGGGCUUAAAGCGUUCGUAGCUGGCUUGUUAAGUCUCUGGGGAAAUCUUCCGGCUCAACCGGAAGGCGUCUCAGGGAUACUGGCAGGCUAGGGACCGGGAGAGGUGAGAGGUACUCCAGGGGUAGGAGUGAAAUCCUGUAAUCCUUGGGGGACCACCUGUGGCGAAGGCGUCUCACCAGAAUGGCUCCGACAGUGAGGGACGAAAGCUGGGGGAGCAAACCGGAUUAGAUACCCGGGUAGUCCCAGCUGUAAACGAUGCACGUUAGGUGUAUCGGUGACCACGAGUCACCGAGGUGCCGAAGAGAAAUCGUGAAACGUGCCGCCUGGGAAGUACGGUCGCAAGGCUGAAACUUAAAGGAAUUGGCGGGGGAGCAC
This 790-nucleotide ribosomal RNA is filed under the name uncultured Methanomicrobiaceae archaeon. Its description in RNAcentral is "bacterial SSU rRNA". It matches the Rfam family "Archaeal small subunit ribosomal RNA", at positions 85 to 879 of the family's 1478-position model. Lineage: Archaea; Methanobacteriati; Methanobacteriota; Methanomicrobia; Methanomicrobiales; Methanomicrobiaceae. The record is from RNAcentral.